Molecule: non-coding RNA, 72 nt
Organism: Eubacterium sp. CAG:252
Lineage: Bacteria; Bacillati; Bacillota; Clostridia; Eubacteriales; Eubacteriaceae
Source: Rfam
GGCUUAUUGGUCAAGUGGUUAAGACGUCGCCCUCUCACGGCGAAGACAGGGGUUCGACUCCCCUAUAAGCUA